CUUUUAAAUUAAAUACACUUAUCUCGAAUAAUUUCUCCAGUAUCAAAAUGAUACAGGGAGAAUUUCAUAAAUAAUCUGUAUUUCUUUAAGAAU
Molecule: non-coding RNA, 93 nt
Organism: Apis mellifera (honey bee)
Lineage: Eukaryota; Metazoa; Arthropoda; Insecta; Hymenoptera; Apidae
Source: RefSeq, marked provisional